AGAGUUUGAUCCUGGCUCAGAACGUACGCUGGCGGCACGCCUUAUACAUGCAAGUCGAACGAAGUAGCAAUACUUAGUGGCAGACGGGUGAGUAACAUGUAGGUAUCUGCCCUUUGGCCUGGAAUAACACGAGGAAACUUGUGCUAAUACCGGAUAAGUCUUUACGGAGAAAGCUUUAUGCACCAUUGGAUGAGCCUGCACUUGAUUAGUUUGUUGGUGGGGUAAUGGCCUACCAAGACAAUGAUCAAUAGCUGAUUUGAGAGGAUGAUCAGCCACAUUGGAACUGAGACACGGUCCAAACUCCUACGGGAGGCAGCAGUAGGGAAUCUUGCACAAUGGAGGAAACUCUGAUGCAGCGAUGCCGCGUGAGUGAAGAAGGCCUUUGGGUUGUAAAGCUCUUUCGUCGGGGAAGAAAAUGACUGUACCCGAAUAAGAAGGUCCGGCUAACUUCGUGCCAGCAGCCGCGGUAAUACGAAGGGACCUAGCGUAGUUCGGAAUUACUGGGCUUAAAGAGUUCGUAGGUGGUUAAAAAAGUUGGUGGUGAAAUCCCAGAGCUUAACUCUGGAACUGCCAUCAAAACUUUUUAGCUAGAGUAUGAUAGAGGAAAGCAGAAUUUCUAGUGUAGAGGUGAAAUUCGUAGAUAUUAGAAAGAAUACCAAUUGCGAAGGCAGCUUUCUGGAUCAUUACUGACACUGAGGAACGAAAGCAUGGGUAGCGAAGAGGAUUAGAUACCCUCGUAGUCCAUGCCGUAAACGAUGUGUGUUAGACGUUGGAAAUUUAUUUUCAGUGUCGCAGCGAAAGCGAUAAACACACCGCCUGGGGAGUACGACCGCAAGGUUAAAACUCAAAUGAAUUGACGGGGACCCGCACAAGUAGUGGAGCAUGUGGUUUAAUUCGAAGAUACGCGCAGAACCUUACCAACACUUGACAUGUUCGUCGCGACUCUAAGAGAUUAGAGUUUUCGGUUCGGCCGGACGAAACACAGGUGCUGCAUGGCUGUCGUCAGCUCGUGUCGUGAGAUGUUGGGUUAAGUCCCGCAACGAGCGCAACCCUUACUUUUAGUUGCCAUCAUUUAGUUGGGCACUCUGAAAGAACUGCCAGUGAUAAGCUGGAGGAAGGUGGGGAUGACGUCAAGUCCUCAUGGCCCUUAUGUGUUGGGCUACACACGUGCUACAAUGGUAUCUACAACAGGAAGCAAGAUGGCAACAUUAAGCAAAUCCCAAAAAGAUACCUCAGUUCGGAUUGCACUCUGCAACUCGAGUGCAUGAAGCUGGAAUUACUAGUAAUCGUGGAUCAGCGUGCCACGGUGAAUACGUUCCCGGGUCUUGUACACACCGCCCGUCACACCAUGGGAGUUGGUUCUACCUUAAGGCAAAGUUUAAAACCUUUGACCACGGUAUAGUCAGCGACUGGGGUGAAGUCGUAACAAGGUAACC
Molecule: ribosomal RNA, 1436 nt
Filed under: uncultured bacterium
Lineage: Bacteria
Description: bacterial SSU rRNA
Rfam family: Bacterial small subunit ribosomal RNA
Source: RNAcentral